This 462-nucleotide ribosomal RNA is filed under the name uncultured bacterium. RNAcentral's name for it is "partial 16S ribosomal RNA". It matches the Rfam family "Bacterial small subunit ribosomal RNA", at positions 338 to 795 of the family's 1533-position model. The record is from RNAcentral.
CCUACGGGUGGCAGCAGUGAGGAAUCUUGGUCAAUGGACGCAAGUCUGAACCAGCCAAGUCGCGUGCAGGAUUACAGCCCUCCGGGUUGUAAACUGCUUUUAUUUGGGAAUAAAACGGGUAUCGUGAGCCCCGUCUUGUAUGUACCAUCCUAAAAAGGACCGGCUAAUUCCUUGCCAGCAGCCGCGGUAAUACGGAAGGUCCGGGCGUUAUCCGGCUUUGUUGGGGUUAAAGGGAGCGUAGUCCGGCCUUUAAGUCAUCUGGGAAAGUCCGCGGCUCAACCGUGGAAUGGCAGUUGAAACUGGAGGGCUGGAGUGCACGCAGGGAUGCCGGAAUUCAUGGUGUAGCGGUGAAAUGCUUAGAUAUCAGGAAGAACACCGGUGGCGAAGGCAAGUGCCUGGGGUGUAACUGACGCUGAGGCACGAAAGUGAGGGGAGCAAACAGGAUUAGAUACCCUAGUAGUC